UACGAGGUUGACUCAGCGCAGAUCUUGG
Molecule: small RNA, 28 nt
Filed under: Bombyx mori (domestic silkworm)
Lineage: Eukaryota; Metazoa; Arthropoda; Insecta; Lepidoptera; Bombycidae
Description: ovarian small RNA-21008
Source: RNAcentral